CCUACGGGUGGCUGCAGUGAGGAAUAUUGGUCAAUGGUCGGGAGACUGAACCAGCCAAGCCGCGUGAGGGAGGAAGGUACAGAGUAUCGUAAACCUCUUUUGUCAGGGAACAAAGACUGGGACGCGUCCCCGGAUGAGUGUACCUGAAGAAAAAGCAUCGGCUAACUCCGUGCCAGCAGCCGCGGUAAUACGGAGGAUGCGAGCGUUAUCCGGAUUUAUUGGGGUUAAAGGGUGCGCAGGCGGUCUGUUAAGUCAGCGGUCAAAGCCCGGGGCCAAACCCCGGCCCGCAGUUGAAACUGGCAGUCUCGAGUUGGAGAGAAGUAUGCGGAAUUCUCGGUGUAGCAGUGAAAUGCUGAGAUAUCGCGAGGAACACUCGUGGCGAAGGCGGGUUCCUGGACAUUAACUGACGCUGAGGCACGAAGGCCAGGGGAGCGAAAGGGAUUAGAUACCCCAGUAGUC
This 459-nucleotide ribosomal RNA is filed under the name uncultured bacterium. RNAcentral describes it as "partial 16S ribosomal RNA". It matches the Rfam family "Bacterial small subunit ribosomal RNA", at positions 338 to 795 of the family's 1533-position model. The record is from RNAcentral.